AUGAACGCUGGCGGCGUGCCUAACACCUGCAAGUCGAACGGAGAUUACGGACGGAAGUUUUCGGAUGGAAGACUGUAAUUCUUAGUGGCGGACGGGUGAGUAACGCGUGGGCAACCUGCCCUAUACAGGGGGAUAGCAGCUGGAAACGGCUGGUAAGACCGCAUAAGUCGGCGAGACCGCAUGGUUUUGCCGGGAAAUGAGCAAUCAGGUAUAGGAUGGGCCCGCGUCCGAUUAGCCAGUUGGCAGGGUAAAAGCCUACCAAAGCAACGAUCGGUAGCCGGACUGAGAGGUCGGACGGCCACAUUGGGACUGAGACACGGCCCAAACUCCUACGGGAGGCAGCAGUGGGGGAUAUUGCACAAUGGAGGAAACUCUGAUGCAGCGACGCCGCGUGAGUGAAGAAGUAUUUCGGUAUGUAAAGCUCUAUCAGCAGGGAAGAUGAUGACGGUACCUGACUAAGAAGCCCCGGCUAACUACGUG
This 480-nucleotide ribosomal RNA is filed under the name uncultured bacterium. RNAcentral's name for it is "partial 16S ribosomal RNA". It matches the Rfam family "Bacterial small subunit ribosomal RNA", at positions 29 to 507 of the family's 1533-position model. The record is from RNAcentral.